AGGCACCACAGCGGCACGAAGACGCAGGCCGAGCACGGUCCCCCCCCUCCUACACACACGCGCACGCGCACGCGUAUGCUGCCGGUGUUUCCGUUUCUGUUUUCGUGCUAUCGCUUGAUUUGACGUUCGCAUGUUUCCUUCGAUUUCUCUCGUUUUCGUCUCUCUCCCUAUGCAGAGUCGCAUGGACGUGUGCGUGUGCGUGCCCCUCUGCCGUUUUCCCGUUGUGUCUCCGUGCCGCUGCCCUGCUCCUCGUCUUCCCCGCCCCCUCCAUGCGCGUGUGCGUGUGCGGGCGAGGCGGCUGAUCGAGGGGACGACGAGGUGGAGAGCAGCCACGGCACCGCAGCGCUGGGGAUACAUGGGCAGUGUGCAGGAGCAGCGGAGGAGAGGCACGCACACGCACUCUGGCAAGGGAGUAGUGGUGCGGAGGCCGCAGGGGAAUACGCAGCGGAGCGAGUGGGUACGGAGGCGGAGCGGAGGAGAGGCAGCGCUGCUUCUCUGUUCGCCCCGCUUGCGUUGGACUCGAGUGUGUCUGCGUGUGCGCCCCCUGCGGCCCUGGGCCCCCUCGCCUCUCUUGCGCGCUUCGCGUCGCUUGUUUCGUUGCUGUGGCUGUCUAACUACGCCAUCGAGUCGGCCAGAGUCGCGUGCGCGGAGUAUUCACACCAUAUUACGGCAUGCGGCAUGCACCUACACCAGCCCCUGCGGCCUGCACGGCAGACGCCGCCGCCUCCGCCCUCGAGCAGGACCCUGCACCGGGGUCCGUGUGGCGCCGGUCGCGCUGCACGCGUGCGAGGGCGAUACGCGGAGGGACAAGGCGAGCCCGCUAGCAGCAUGGGCCGACUCGACGGCUGAACGGCUCGUCGUGGACGGCGCGGAUGUGGCCGCCGUGCGGCAGGGGUGGGUGGGCUGCGGCUGUAUGCGUGCACGUGUGGACUCGGUCGUGAUGGAGUGAGACGUUGAUAAGGAAGUGCUCUGCUUUCCCUGGCAAGCACGCGAAGGAGGAGGUAACCACGGCAACCACAAAACGACACGUAUAUACAUACAUACAUACAUAUAUAUCAUCAUCCAUGUCGGCGUGCGCCAACAGACCAUCAAAACUCCCCGGACUUUGUUUUCCCCGCCGACCGCCGCCCCCGUGUGCUCGCCCGAGCGGACGGAGCGCGUGCGCCCUUUUCUCCUCGUGCUUCUCCGUUGCUUGCUUUUUGCUUGCUGUCUUUUGUUGUUGUCUCCGUUCCUCGACUG
This 1239-nucleotide unclassified non-coding RNA is filed under the name Leishmania donovani. Its description in RNAcentral is "gene:unknown". Lineage: Eukaryota; Euglenozoa; Kinetoplastea; Trypanosomatida; Trypanosomatidae. The record is from RNAcentral.